This 73-nucleotide transfer RNA is filed under the name Cordylochernes scorpioides. RNAcentral's name for it is "tRNA-Thr". It matches the Rfam family "tRNA". Rfam says of the family: Transfer RNA (tRNA) molecules are approximately 80 nucleotides in length. Their secondary structure includes four short double-helical elements and three loops (D, anti-codon, and T loops). Further hydrogen bonds mediate the characteristic L-shaped molecular structure. tRNAs have two regions of fundamental functional importance: the anti-codon, which is responsible for specific mRNA codon recognition, and the 3' end, to which the tRNAs corresponding amino acid is attached (by aminoacyl-tRNA synthetases). tRNAs cope with the degeneracy of the genetic code in two manners: having more than one tRNA (with a specific anti-codon) for a particular amino acid; and 'wobble' base-pairing, i.e. permitting non-standard base-pairing at the 3rd anti-codon position. The record is from RNAcentral. Lineage: Eukaryota; Metazoa; Arthropoda; Arachnida; Pseudoscorpiones; Chernetidae.
UCCAGGGUAGCCUAGUGGACAUGACACCUGCCCGGUAAGCAGAAGGUUGUGGGUUCGAUUCCCGCCGCUGGAC